GUCUUUCUCAAGUUGAGCAUCUCCUUCCCACUAACCUCUCCACCAAAUCUUCUACAGGUUGGAUGUUCGGCAGGACAAGCAUGCAGUAAAUGCAGUUAACAAGGGAAGAAGAAUCUGAUUGAUGCAAAGAGAAACAAACCUCAGCUGGCUCAUUUCUGUCAUGGAAAGCAAGUGGCUCAAAGACACUCCAGAGUCUCUUUCUCUCUUGAACAUUGACUCAGGCUCUCACAUAAGGAACCAAGGAGAUCCCAGGCAUCCCAGAAAAAAAUGGGAAGAGGAGGAAGUUCUUGUUGUGCCCUGGAAAGAGCAGAUCUGGCCAAGAAUGUGCAACUGACUCCCUUUGCGUUGUGAUCACCUGCAGAUCUCGAAAGUGCUUCUAGAGAGAAACACUGCUUCCCAGCUUUCAUUUAAUGAAAAAAGAAGCAAGCAGCAUUAACACAUGAAGCAAAAUCCUCUGAGAUGUUCCCAUCAGCUCAACACACACAAAAAAAAACUUCAGCGGAUUGAGCAGUGUUCAAAAAUACAUCCAAAGGAUGCUCUUCCACAUCAAACAGCACUGGCGUGCUCUUGCACAGGCUUCCAGAUGGUCCAUCUUUGGAGCCUUUUCUUUUAAGCGGAUAGCCUGAGGCACAACAGGACCAUAUCACUGCUUUAUUUAGAGCACAGAAAAUAAAAAGUCCUCCUUAGCAAAAAGAAAUUAUUUUUCUAAAAAUAAAGAUCAGUUUUCUCAGAUUUCCUUUUUAUUCUUCUUCCCCACAAAAACACAUUAAAGAGCACAGCUCUGCUGAGGUUAAAAGAGCCUCUUGGUGGUUGAUAGCUCCUGUAUUGCAGUCCUUAAUUCACAGAUACAUCUUUUUCUUUUCAAUUCUAAAUUAUGCACUCUGUGCUCGACAACUUCAAGUGUACCAGAACGGGAUAGUUUUCGAGCCCAUACACUGUGAAUCUGUUUCUUAAGCAGCUUUCAAGGUUUUCAGAAAGGAGCCAUUAAAAUGAUAUCACACUCCAUUUCAGCAAAACAAAAAUACUGAUUUGUUGGGGUCUACUAUGAAACCAAUUGACUUCGGGAGGAAAAUCUUAAAUCUUGAUAACUAUAAACUGCUUAAAUGUGACAGGCUGAUCACAGAGGUUGUGGAGUCUCCUUCUUUGGGUCUGGAUGCUGUUCUGUGCAACCUCCUGUAUGGAAUCUGCUUUAGCAGGGGCUGGAACUCAAUAAUCCUCCCUUCCAACUCCUACAGUUCUAUGAUCCUGUGCUAUUAGAACAGGUCAUAAUAUCACAGAAUAUCAAGGAAAUAACCCAGCCACGCAUCUCCAGAGGUUUCAGGGCUGUGAACUGAGCAAGUUGUUUUCCCCAGCUCUGUGUUCUGAAUGACCAAACAAGCACUUGGUGUUUUUGCAAGCUUUAUACGAAAUGGACCUUUGUCUCUGCUGAUGUCACCACGUUUCAUCACAAGUUGAUAUAGAGCAGUAAAAUCCAACAUUACUACACUUGUGCAGUCCAACAAUGCAAGACCUGCAUGUUAAAUCUGCCUAGAACAUGCAGUGUUAAGAGUACAGUAGUGUUGUCCCACCCAUGCCCAGCUUCAGACUUAUUAUUUGAAUGUGUUAUCCUAGCUCUAAUCAGAAGAAGAAGAAGAAUGGCACAAACCUCACUUUGAUAGUGGUUAUUUUCAAUGUGGUCUCUGAGGUCUACAGGAAAAAUGACCAAGGGGGUAAUAAGGAAGGGCAUACAUGUGAGGUAUAAAUCAAAACACUUUACUAGUUCUCUGUUCUUCCUUCAAAUAUUUGUUUCACCAUGAAUCACAGAAUCAUAUGCAGAAUGGAGGGAUGGGUCUAUCAAAGAUGACCAGGGUCUGGAUGGGCAUAUCCCAGUCAUGCCACAGGUCACAGCCAUAGCUUCAGUGCAGUGUGCUGAUGUGCUGGGGCUCCAAGGCACAUCUCCUCCCAAAAAUAUACAGCUUAAGCAGACACCUGGGAAGACCUGCAAGAAGCUGUUGGUUUAGGAACCUUACAUGCAAUCCUCUCUCACACUUGGAUUUCCUUGAGAGAUCACUGCUGCAGGAUGCUAAGAUGAGCAACAUGAGUCAAUCAGAAAUACAAAGCCACUCGGUCUCAACAAAAUGCUUGGUUGUGAGUCAAACAAUACAAGUUUUGAAAACUAUUUCAGACUAAAUUCUUCCUCAGGACAUGGCCUCCAAGGGUGAAAGCUUGGUCCCACUGAGGCCAAGAGCAAAAUUCCUGCAGACCUCAGCAGGACCUGGCUCGUACCCAAAGCAAACUUUUCAAGUCCCAGCCAAACUCUUCAGCUGCAGACGUUCAUUUCUAUUAUUUUUGUAGCCUUUUUGUCCUGCAAAAGGGAUCCUUCUGCAUUGUCCAUCCAACAGUCAUUAACAAGAUGGAAGAAAUAUAAUUUGCUGUUGAAAAAAAAAUCUAUAAAUUAUUUUUUUCAAUUAGAAAUGAUAUGUCUGUAACAUGGUCUCCAAGUGUGUCAGUGGAAGUCUGGUCAGUGGAAGAGACCUGCAUAGCUCAAAACCUUCUGGGACUGGGAUUAUGCUCUGUUCUAUUUCACCUAACCCUACAGGAUCCUGCAUCUGAAACAGGGGCCUUCCAGGAACUUGGUAAAAGCAAUUAUAAACACAAGUAUUUUAAUUUUAGCCCUGUUGACUUUCCUUCUGCCAUUAUUGUUUGUCAUUCCCAGCAGACUGAAGGCAUUUUGCCUCAUGGGGAACUGCACUGUAACGAUUUUAAAGCACACUCCAAUUUUACAUUUGGAACAACGUUAACAAGUAAAACAUGAACUGUCAGUUUUACAACAAGUUUUUUAACUUCUGAUUAUUUGUUUUAAAGCUUGCAUUCCUGAAAACCAGUAGUUACAUCAAUUCUCCUUGGUGUCAGAAGAAAAUGUCUAGGACAUGCCUACGGGGUAUGGCUCAAAAUGCUGACCCCAAGCAUGUCGGCAAAACUAGAAAGCAAAUAGACCAUGUUCUCUGAGAUCACCAAUGGUCUAUCUGGGUCAUCACAUGCUGGCAGUGCUUCUCGUGUUAAAAAGUCAAGAAAUUGUGCCACAAGAUUUACCUACUGUACGACCACAGGAAUAUAGUCUAGACCAGACCUGAGUUCAGAUCUCAACUCUCUACCGAUACCCAGACAUUUUCACCAUAUGCUUGUAAUUAUGAAAUCAUUCUCAUCAGCAAGAAACACAAUACACUUUAAAGGAAAGAAAAUAAACUAGGCCUUAAUUUUACCUUCAUCUACUCCCCACACACACUGACAUUUUUAUGCAACUGGAACAGGGACUCGCCCUUCUCAUUUCUAUAUGCCAAGUUGGUUUGCUGACACAUUAUUAGACUCCACAAAUCUCUGGCUUUGUCCAGGAAAGAAAGUCAGGCUCCAGCAAAAGCAAGCUGCGUUGAACUUGCUCAAACAUGCAUAUUUCAAGCACUGUCUUCUCCCACAGCUCAAAGGACAUUGCGACACCAUCCAGAUAAAAUUUUAGUGCAACAUGCCAAAGCAGUUGCUUACAUUAAGGUUUGGUCCAAGCCACUAAAAGUAGAAGUGAAUGUAGAUCUCGAGAAACGCAUGGCUACUUUACCCUCUGAGUUUUCCAAAGCUUUUGCCCUUGGACACAGGAACUUCCAGCCUUCACAUCAUGGGGCUGCCCCUUGCCAUUGAGGUCAGGUCAAAUGAUUCCACUAGUAUUGGCUCCAGCUUUUCUCUCUUCUGAUGCAGCACCUGUGUGGUUACAACUCUGCUUAUGGUGACAAGCAGUAAGUGCUGAAAAUUUUAGUGAUACCAAAUGUGCAUCAUUUUGGCAUGUCUUGAGUCCAUUCAACCUUUCAAAUUGCAGCACGGAAAGAGAAUGGGCAAGCUGCAUCUCUGAAACAAGCUGGAAGUACUACUGAUGACUAUAAGAACCACAGCUGUUUCUUUUGAAGGUCUUCUAGUUCUCCAAAAGAGAUACAAGCAACAGAAGACAGGUCAAGCUUGAAAGUAAGGCUACUAUAGACCCAAACACGUUCCUGUAGAAGCAGCUGCAGGAUGGCCCAGAUGCAUGAACUUAAUUCUGAUUCAAAUGUGCUUUCAGAGCAGUUUGGCACAUUAGAUAGUAUUUGGUCAUGUUCACACAUACAUCAGGAAGUUUCUAGUUUGCCAGAUACACUGGCCAUCUUGUAUUGCUUUCAGGCAGCCUCCCUCAUCUGGCUUUCACAAUAUAACAGAAUUCCUGAGAAUAUUUUGCUGUAAAACUAAGCUUUGCCAGAGGGAGAACUUCACAUGCAAAUGACUUCUGCAUCACCCUUGAAGAACCAGUCCACAGAGCUACAUAUAAUGUCUCCUUCCUCUAUCUGUUCACCUCAGAUCAACCCCUUGUAGGAAAUUUUAAGUACUGCAGUCAUCUGUGAGUCAUUCGUGGCAUCUAUGCCACGCAUAUAACCACCUGAAGUGAGCACCAGAGCCAAGCUUCAUGCUCUGGAAGAACACGCUGUUCCCUCUGUCACACGUCUUAGUCCUUUGGUGGCUGCUGUAAAGGCCCUUCCUCCUGCUACGGUCACAAAGAGGAAAGGAUGGAAGACAUUUUAUAUAUAUAGUUACAUUCACAUUAUGUGCACAUACAUAGUUGAAAACAAAUGAAUGUACCAAAUAAAUGGGGAGUUUUUGUAGAGCUUGUUAUCUCAAAGUUGAUUUUCCCUGGGAUCAAAGUCCAACUUCUCCCACAGCCCAAACCACUUUCUGACCAAAUUCUGAAAAUUCCUGUUCUUCACCCAAAAAGGAAAACAGGCAGCUCCCACUGCUUUCUAAGCCAUGUGUUUUCCUCUGUAGGAGAAACCCUUUGUAUUUUUGACAACUUCCUCAAGUUAGCGGCAGUUGAGAAGCAGAUGACGUCUGUGGUAUACCAAAACCCCAGUGCCCUGACGCACAUUUGCCCUGGAUCACGAAAUGAGUUGCAAAAUGAUGACACCGUGAAAAUGCCAGAUAGCAUCAGCAAAAGCCGGGAUUUCUUUGAAGGGAGCAGCCAUUUUCCCCUCCCAAAACAAGCUAAUGUAUGAGAACGAGGAGAACACAUGUCUUACUGAUGCAACCCCCAUGGUGAGCAGGUUGUAAAUCUCCACUCUAAGCAGGACAUCAGCUUAUAUGCAGGAAUAAAGGCUCGGAGUACUUGAGCAGUUGGCCACGGACGCACAAACUCUCACACCUUAAGAAGACACCAAAUACUUGUUUCCACCACAAUGGAAAUAAUAAAGUCAUUUUCUUUUCUCUUUCUUUUCAAGUGCUGUUGAGGGUUUUUCCUCAACGAAAUGGUGUUC
Gallus gallus (chicken) is the source of this 5300-nucleotide long non-coding RNA. Lineage: Eukaryota; Metazoa; Chordata; Aves; Galliformes; Phasianidae. The record is from Ensembl.